Eubalaena glacialis (North Atlantic right whale) is the source of this 547-nucleotide long non-coding RNA. RefSeq lists it as uncharacterized. The record is from RefSeq and is a predicted model, not a curated record. The transcript has 3 exons. NCBI's taxonomy places the organism in Eukaryota, Metazoa, Chordata, Mammalia, Artiodactyla, Balaenidae.
CCCCGCGCCGGGCUCCCCACGGAGAGGCACUCCCCCUCCCUCCGCCCCGCCCGCUGGCCACACGGUGGAGAGACGCUGCGGAGAAGCCGGGAGGGAAGCGCAAACGCGCGUGUCGCCCAGGACAGCGAGACAGCGGUUAGCGGUCGGUGGGCUCGGAUUGGACAUUCCCAGCGCCUCGCUGGUCCCACGGAAAUGGAGAAAUAGCUUCGGGAAGGAAGUCUGAGAUCAGAGGGACAGCCGGUUUGGUUUCUUCUGAGGCCUCUCUCCUUGGCUUGCAGACAGCUGCCUUCCUCCUGUGUCUUUCCUCUGUACAGGCUACUCUAUAUCAGAACAAGGCUGAGAUGGGGCCUGAAAGGUGAUGACCGUCUCCCAGAGAGCCUGGCUUUGGAGCCUGAUUGCGGUAACUGAUGAGGCUGGGUGUGUCCCCUUUGAGGAAGAGACACAGUUUGGCUGCACAAGGCCUGACCUCCGGCUCCCGUCCUUGCCCUGACCUUCCGCCUGCAGCACAGCAGCCUGAGUGGUCCUUUUAAAGCAUGAGUCAGGUUGG